GACGAACGCUGGCGGCGUGGAUUAGGCAUGCAAGUCGAACGGUAGGAUACCUUCGGGUAUCUGAGAGUGGCGAACGGGUGAGUAACACGUAGGUGAUCUACCCUCAAGAUUGGGACAACCAGGGAAACUUGGGCUAAUACCGGAUGAAAGCAGCAGUGAUGUUGUUUGAAAGGUGGCGUAAGCUGCCGUUUGGGGAUGAGCCUGCGCUCUAUUAGUUAGUUGGCGGGGUAAAGGCCCACCAAGGCGAUGAUAGAUAGGCGGCCUUAACGGGUGGUCGCCCACACUGGGAUUGAGAUACGGCCCAGACUCCUACGGGAGGCAGCAGUCGAGAAUAGUCUACAAUGGCCGAAAGGCUGAUAGUGCGACGCCGCGUGAACGAAGAAGCCCUUCGGGGUGUAAAGUUCUUUUAUAUGUGAGCAGUGCUUUCUAUGUGAACAGCAUGGGGAGAGAGAUAUUAGCAUAUGAAUAAGCAACGGCUAACUCCGUG
Molecule: ribosomal RNA, 487 nt
Filed under: uncultured bacterium
Lineage: Bacteria
Description: bacterial SSU rRNA
Rfam family: Bacterial small subunit ribosomal RNA
Source: RNAcentral